This 263-nucleotide unclassified non-coding RNA is filed under the name plant metagenome. RNAcentral's name for it is "partial contains small subunit ribosomal RNA, internal transcribed spacer 1, and 5.8S ribosomal RNA". The record is from RNAcentral.
UUUCCGUAGGUGAACCUGCGGAAGGAUCAUUAUUGUAUAACCGAGGUGCGAGGGCUGUCGCUGACCCGAAAGGUCGUGCACGCCCGUGUGCCCUCACACACAUCCAUCUCACCCCUAUGUGCACCACCGCGUGGGUCCCCCUUUGGCUUGUUCGGAGGGGGGCUUACGUUUUCACACAAACUUUGUAUGCAGUGUAGAAUGUAUUUUUUGCUUUUGCGAUCACGCAAUCAAUACAACUUUCAACAACGGAUCUCUUGGCUCUC